Molecule: long non-coding RNA, 180 nt
Organism: Zea mays
Lineage: Eukaryota; Viridiplantae; Streptophyta; Magnoliopsida; Poales; Poaceae
Exons: 3
Source: RefSeq, a predicted model, not a curated record
AGGUUAACAGAAUCAGAGAACUUCCAUAGAACAGUAAGAUCAUAGCCACUCACACUGACAGUCCAGAUGUACUUAUUUGGGAUGUUGAAGCACAACCAAAUAGACAUGCUGUCCUAGGAGCAAGCGAGUCUCGCCCUGAUCUGAUAUUAACAUGACAUAAGGAAAUUGUGGAAUUUGCGC